This 534-nucleotide ribosomal RNA is filed under the name uncultured bacterium. RNAcentral's name for it is "bacterial SSU rRNA". It matches the Rfam family "Bacterial small subunit ribosomal RNA", at positions 977 to 1509 of the family's 1533-position model. The record is from RNAcentral.
GGCCUCGACAUACUAAGAACUUUCCAGAGAUGGAUUGGUGCCUUCGGGAACUUAGAUACAGGUGCUGCAUGGCUGUCGUCAGCCCGUGUCGUGAGAUGUUGGGUUAAGUCCCGNAACGAGCGCAACCCUUUUCCUUAUUUGCCAGCGGGUCAUGCCGGGAACUUUAAGGAUACUGCCAGUGACAAACUGGAGGAAGGCGGGGACGACGUCAAGUCAUCAUGGCCCUUACGGCCAGGGCUACACACGUGCUACAAUGGUCGGUACAAAGGGUUGCUACCUCGCGAGAGGAUGCUAAUCUCAAAAAGCCGAUCGUAGUCCGGAUCGCAGUCUGCAACUCGACUGCGUGAAGUCGGAAUCGCUAGUAAUCGCGGAUCAGAAUGCCGCGGUCGAAUACGUUCCCGGGCCUUGUACACACCGCCCGUCACACCAUGGGAGUUUGUUGCACCAGAAGUAGGUAGUCUAACCGCAAGGAGGACGCUUACCACGGUGUGGCCGAUGACUGGGGUGAAGUCGUAACAAGGUAGGCGUAGAUGA